AUAUGCAAUUAAUAACGUCGGUCCGUCGAGGUGUCUACGUGGGAAGGAGUAAUGACACGACUCCUCCAUCACUGGUCGAAUGGAUUGCCCGACCACCGGCGGAUGAAUGUGCUCGACGUGGUCGGUUGUUUCAGUGGAAAUUGGAUCCCACAAUUACAGGUCUUCUUCGAGUUUGGGAGGCGAUAUAAGCAUCUCAUUCGCGCAGAGAGGACCUGCCGCCACAACCUUGAAUGGAUUCGUCGAAGCCUUACCAGCGUCGUCCGUUCCAGGGAUGUGUACAUCCGUGUCUGCGUGCUCCGCAAUACGGUGGAGCAAAUCUACAUCCUGUGCGCUCAGGACGACGCGUUCACGGAAGCUGGGCAGCGCAGCGUCGAUGGUGGGAAGUACUCGUCGUGGUAACUUAAUUGCCAUUUUGGCUCUUCGUCUUUCAAGGGAAGUGAACGAGACCUGCGGCACUUGGGUCCUGCAGUGAAUCAUCCACCCUCGUCUGCUUGAACUUUUCUUCAUGGUGAAAAAUAUGGUGUAUUCUUAAUUCACAUAGGCUUAAUUAUCACUUGCUGAACUCAAUAUUUGAUUGAACUUUCUAAAUCUUUACUAAUUUAAAUAUUAGAGAAAUUUUAUUGGGUA
Molecule: long non-coding RNA, 627 nt
Organism: Musa acuminata AAA Group (dessert banana)
Lineage: Eukaryota; Viridiplantae; Streptophyta; Magnoliopsida; Zingiberales; Musaceae
Exons: 2
Source: RefSeq, a predicted model, not a curated record